Molecule: non-coding RNA, 89 nt
Organism: Mycena latifolia
Lineage: Eukaryota; Fungi; Basidiomycota; Agaricomycetes; Agaricales; Mycenaceae
Source: the annotation of a GenBank genome assembly
UCGGGUGUGGUGUACGGAACACCGCGCGUCUCCUUAAAGUCGUGGCUAAGAGGAGCGCGCAGUCCGGGGUUCGACUCCCUGCGCCCGAA